AUCGCACAAAAAGCUGGGUAUAGUUCAAAUUCCUGACUGUAUAUUCUGAUUCCCCUGGGCAUUUAUACUCUGCCAUCCCACACAGUUCCCCCUCCUGUGUGAGGGUCCUAUUGCAAUUCAUUAGCGUGCUUUUUUUUUUUGCUUUUUUUUUUGGAGACGGAGUCUUGCUCUGUCCCUCAGGCUGGAGUGCAGUGGCGCCAUCUCAGCUGAAUGCAACCUCUGCCUCCUGGGUUCAAGAGAUUCUCCUGCCUCAGCCUCCCAAGUAGCUGGGAUUACAGGCACGUGCCACCACGCCUGGCUAAUUUUUUGUAUUUUUAGUAGAGACAGGGUUUCACCGUGUUAGCCAGGAUGACCUCGAUCUUCUGACCUCGUGAUCCUCCCACCUCAGCCUCCCAAAGUGCUGGGAUUACAGGCGUGAGCCACAGCGCCCGGCCUUCAGCAUGCUUUAUUUUUAAUGGUUUGCUGUAUUUUCAUCUGGUUUCUCCUUCUGAAUGUAUUUUCCAGAGAUAAGUACUGAGCAGCUUAAAGUAUUUGAAUGGGAGGAGGAGAAGCAAACUACAGCUACUUCAGAGGAUAACACUAAACACCUAGUCCACUCUGUAUACACUAGAGGUGCUGUUAAUUUUCUUGUGGAGAAGGAACUGUCUUUAGAAAAAUAUCUCAAAAAGCCACUGAAGUAGAAAGUUUCAGCAUGCUGAAGAUGGAACUUGCGAAGAUAGAAAGUUCUGGGUCCUUAGUGGCAUGACUGAGUCGCUGGACCACUGUUGGAACCACCCUAUGUCUUAGUUUUUAAAUCUCUUUACUGUCUAAGACAUUUUUAGUGGAAGUAUUUAUCUCUGGCAUCCAAUAAGACCUUUAAGGAUUUGCAGUUUU
RNAcentral lists this long non-coding RNA (873 nucleotides) under Pan troglodytes (chimpanzee). RNAcentral's name for it is "lincRNA". The record is from RNAcentral. Lineage: Eukaryota; Metazoa; Chordata; Mammalia; Primates; Hominidae.